AACGAACGCUGGCGGCAGGCCUAACACAUGCAAGUCGAGCGAGGACUUCGGUUCUAGCGGCGGACGGGUGAGUAACGCGUGGGAAUGUGCCCUUCUCUACGGAAUAGCCCUGGGAAACUGGGAGUAAUACCGUAUACGCCCUAUUGGGGAAAGAUUUAUCGGAGAAGGAUCAGCCCGCGUUGGAUUAGGUAGUUGGUGGGGUAAUGGCCUACCAAGCCGACGAUCCAUAGCUGGUUUGAGAGGAUGAUCAGCCACACUGGGACUGAGGCACGGCCCAGACUCCUACGGGAGGCAGCAGUGGGGAAUCUUAGACAAUGGGGGCAACCCUGAUCUAGCCAUGCCGCGUGAGUGAUGAAGGCCUUAGGGUUGUAAAGCUCUUUCAGCUGGGAAGAUAAUGACGGUACCAGCAGAAGAAGCCCCGGCUAACUCCGUG
Molecule: ribosomal RNA, 433 nt
Filed under: uncultured bacterium
Lineage: Bacteria
Description: partial 16S ribosomal RNA
Rfam family: Bacterial small subunit ribosomal RNA
Source: RNAcentral